RNAcentral lists this ribosomal RNA (547 nucleotides) under uncultured bacterium. Its description in RNAcentral is "partial 16S ribosomal RNA". It matches the Rfam family "Bacterial small subunit ribosomal RNA", at positions 355 to 895 of the family's 1533-position model. The record is from RNAcentral.
UGGGGAAUUUUGGACAAUGGGCGAAAGCCUGAUCCAGCAAUGCCGCGUGUGUGAAGAAGGCCUUCGGGUUGUAAAGCACUUUUGUCCGGAAAGAAAUCCUUGGCUCUAAUACAGUCGGGGGAUGACGGUACCGGAAGAAUAAGCACCGGCUAACUACGUGCCAGCAGCCGCGGUAAUACGUAGGGUGCAAGCGUUAAUCGGAAUUACUGGGCGUAAAGCGUGCGCAGGCGGUUUGCUAAGACCGAUGUGAAAUCCCCGGGCUCAACCUGGGAACUGCAUUGGUGACUGGCAGGCUAGAGUAUGGCAGAGGGGGGUAGAAUUCCACGUGUAGCAGUGAAAUGCGUAGAGAUGUGGAGGAAUACCGAUGACGAAGGCAGCCCCCUGGGCCAAUACUGACGCUCAUGCACGAAAGCGUGGGGAGCAAACAGGAUUAGAUACCCUGGUAGUCCACGCCCUAAACGAUGUCAACUAGUUGUUGGGGAUUCAUUUCCUUAGUAACGUAGCUAACGCGUGAAGUUGACCGCCUGGGGAGUACGGUCGCAAGAUU